This is a non-coding RNA of Chlorocebus sabaeus (green monkey), 5249 nucleotides long. The record is from RefSeq and is a predicted model, not a curated record. Lineage: Eukaryota; Metazoa; Chordata; Mammalia; Primates; Cercopithecidae.
AUGAAGACUUAAAAAUAGCUCAACUGAAAAUGGAUAUUCUGGUUAAGUACAGGUAAAACAUCAGAUCAAAUAUGAAAAUAGCAGUGAUCAGCACCAAGCUCCUUAUGGAGAAAGAGCAUGUGAAAUCUUCUUAGCACUCUUUCUAUGAGGCCAGGACUCAACAGAAAAUACAUUCCUGAAACACCCAUAAGAAUUCCUACUUCAAACCCACAGACUUCAAAUACCUGCAAGAACUAUUUAACUGAGGUGGCUGUGAUUCACUGCAAAGGACAUCAAAGAGGCUGUGGUAACCAAAGAGCAGACGCUGCGGCUCGGCUCCCGGUCGUGCCUUUAACCCUGCUGCCCACUGUGUCCUUUCCGCAACCGGACUCGCCAGACCACCCAGAAUACGCCCCUGAGGAAGAAAAUCAAGCUUCAGAUAUUCAGGCCAGUAAAAAUCAGGAAGGAGGAGUAAAAUUGGCCCAGCUUCUAAGGAGCCAUUUCAAGAUCCCCCACCUUCAGGACUUAGCUAACCAAGCAGCUCUCCAGUGUACGGCUUGUGCUCAGUACCUGCAGUCUCUCCAACAAGUACAAGACAUCAUCCAGCCGCUUGUCCGGGGAGCUCAUCCCAAUCCAGUUCCUGACCAGACGGGUGACCUGGUAUAUGUUAAAAAAUUCCAGAAGGAAGGACUCACUCCUGCCUGGAAAGGACCUCAUACUAUCAUCCUCACUACACCAAUGGCUCUGAAGGUGGACGACAUUCCUGCUUGGAUUCAUCACUCUCGCAUCAAAAAGGCCAACAAAGCCCAAACCUGCUGUACCCACGAAGAACAGCGCGAUCUGCCGAUCAUGGGAGCAGGAAACGUCGACAUUGCUGCAGAGUUUGGACACACCAGAAGCCGGACUGGAUGUGGAAGCUCUAAGGGUGCAGAAAAGGGCUCCAGAGCGUUGGCUUUCACCUUCGUCCUGGAAAUCACCCUGACUCUAGCUGCUGAGAUUCUUACCAGUUUUUCUGCCCUCACUGGACGUGUGUCACUUUGCCCACUUACUCUGGAGGAUCAACCCCACCCUCAGUCCUUUCCAUAGCUCGCACUUCCCGUCCUAGACCGUGUACUAUAGGAAAUUGCAAUCCUCUUACUGUAACUGUCCGUAACUCUAGUUUAGCUCAAUGGUAUUAUGGCAUGUCACAGGGAUUAAGGCUUUAUAUUCUGGGAUUUGAUGUUGGAACUAAGUUCACCAUCCAGAAAAAGGUCCUGGUCCCACGGAGCCCUCCUAAGCCAAUCGUACCUUUAACUGAUUUGGUGACCCUGCGUUCCAAAAACACCCAGACACAAUUUAACUGUCCCACCAUCGUUCCUGCUUCCUAGACCUCAGCUGCAAUGACAACACCUCCAACCCAGCCUGAAGUCCACUCUGGACAGUGUUCCUCACCUCCUGAGUCUCACCCAGCCUGAAGUCCAUUCUGGACAGCGUUCCUCACUUACCUCCUGAAUCUCACCCAGCCUGAAGUCCACUCUGGACAGUGUUCCUCACCUCCUGAAUCUCACCAGCCUGAAGUCCAUUCUGGACAGUGCUCCUCACUCACCUCCUGAAUCUCACCCAGCCUGAAGUCCACUCUGGACAGUGUUCCUCACCUCCUGAAUCUCACCAGCCUGAAGUCCAUUCUGACGCAGGCCAGACCUCAAGAGGCAGCUAAGGGAUGGGGAGAGAACAGAGGACUUUCCCCACAGACGCCCAGAACCCACAUCCAACCUCAGCCCACAACUCCCCAGCGUGGGCCCCCUGGCUUCUCCUGCUGAGUAUGUUCGUGGCCAUCAUUUCUUUGGAGGAAAUUAGAUUCUUUGGGGCUCCCGUUGCUCUCUGCUGCUCGCUCUCCUCUGCUGCCAGUCCUAAGAGUGCCCCUGUGUAGAGGGGGAGAAGGACACCCACCCUUACAGCUCCCCGCAUGAGGCUGGAAAGUGUCCAAUUCUCCCCUAGACCCCAUGUAUACAGCUUCCUUGAAUAAACGGAGAAAUUGAUCCCGCUAGUCUUAAAGGAAGUUACAUUUGUUUCAUCUGAGUUCCCUGAAACUUACCAGCCCAGGGUCUGACAAUGAGAAGCCAGCCCUUCAGCCCCUAUGAUUGCCUAAGGCACCACCUGCUGCCUGGUAACCAACUUCUCUUCCUCACCCCUCCCCAAUUCUUGUUUUUCCACACAUGGUUACAUUUCUUCGUGGCUAGCCCUGCAGGACCCCCAGUCUAUCAACUAACCCGGAUGUUGAGAGAGGCUCUCUCGGCCCCCUUCCCUGCCCAGUUCUUUCCCUCCUCCUGUCUCUACCCUGCCCCCACCCCUUCCGCAGAGGCCCAGUUGGGCCUCUGAAAAAACGCGGGGGUGGUGGGCUCUGCCUGGGGAACCUGGGGAGGAAGGGCGGUUCUCCAAGUCCCCUUGGUCGCACCCCAGUCAUUCCGACCUUGCAUUCGUGCGCGGCUUCCUUGCCCUCUCUGUGCAGCCAAAAGGCGCAAAUUCAAGAACUGCAAGAUGGCGCACCAGGUGAAACAAGCGGCUGCGCCUGCAGAGGUGCUGGGACCCAGACCACUGGUGGCCUUUCCAGCAUCAGGUUCCGAACCAACCCGCCUCCUGCACCCUGUUCCUACCGAGAGGUGACAACGUGCUAGCAGCCCUCGCUCACUCUCGGCACCUCCUCCGCCUCGGCGUCUGCUCUAGCCGCGCUCCAGGAGCCCUUCAACCCGCAGCUGCGCUGCGAGGGCCCCUCUCUGGGGCUGGCCAGGGCCAGCGCCGGCUCCCUCUGCUCGCGGGGAGGUGUGGAGGGAGAGGCGCGGGCGGGAGGCCAGGCUGCGCGUGGGGCUCACGGGCCGGCGCGGGUUCCGGUGGGCGCGGGCUCUGUGGGCCGGGCCCUCGCUGUGGCCUGCUGGGCUUGAUGGAGGGAGGAGCUCUCUCUGGGCCGCCGGAGUCCCCGGCCUGGGUGGCGACUGCUAUUUAGAGGUGGAGCCGGCUGGGCUUCUGGGUCAGGUGGGGACCCGGAGAACUUUUCUGUCUAGCCAAAGGUUUGUGAACGCACCAAUCAGCUCUCUGUCAAGAUGGACCAAUCAGCUCUGUCAAGACGGACCAAUCAGCUCUCUGUAAAACGGACCAAUCAGCUCUGUCAAGAUGGACCAAUCAGCAGCAUGUGGGUGGGGUCAGAUAAGAAUAAAAGCAGGCUGCCCGCCCCAACAGCAGCAACUCCUUGCGGUGCGUUUUCCACCCCGUGGUUGCUUUGUUCUUUUGCUGUUUGCAAUAGAUCUUGUUGCUGCUUACUCUCUGGGCCUGUGCCACCUUUAUGAGCUGUAACACCUCGAAGGUCUGCAGCGUCACUCCUGAGGCCAGCAAGACCCCUAACCCACUGGAAGGAAGGAACAAGUCCAGAUGUGCAGCCUUUAAGAGCUGUAACCCUCACCUCCAGGGUCCACAGCAGGAACCCACCAGAAGGAAGAAACUCCAGAUACAUCUGAACAUCUGAAGGACAAACUCCUGAUACACCAUCUUUAAGAAUUGUAACACUCACCGCGAGGGUCUGCAGCUUCAUUCUGGAAGUCAGUGAGACCAAGAACCCACCAAUUCUGGACACACUACUGGCACCCUGCUCCUACCAACGCCCUGCCCUGCCAUCGCCCUCCACUUGCCCUCCACCUACCCGCACCUGGGUCCUAACCUGGGUGUCCCGCCCCACCAGCACCCUGCUCCUACCCACACGCUGCUCCACCCACAUCGGGCUCUCAGCACAUCAUACCUGUGGCCCCACCCCACAAUCACUCUGCCCCUCCCACACCCUGUCCCGCUCUCCAGCACCCCGAUCCUACCUUCACCUUGCACCUAUCCAUGCUUCUCCCUGCCAGCACCCUGCUCCAUCAGCACCCUGCUCCACUCGCACCCACUUCUACCUGUGCCCUGUGCCACCAGCACCCUGCUCCUACUGCACCCGGCUCCUACCAAUGCCCUGUCAUCACCCUCUACCCACCUGUGCCAUGGUCCUAACUGUGCCCUGCCCCGCCAGCACCCUGCUCCUACCCACACUUUGCCCCUUCCUGGGCCUGGCCCAGCUGCCACCCUUCUCCUACUGUACCCCGCUUCUACCUGAGUCCGACCCUGCAGCACCUGGCACCUACCUGGACUUUUCUCCUACCUGCUGCCCUGCCCGGCAGCACCACAUCCUACCCGUACCCCACCCCGCCAACAGCCAACUGCUACCCAUCCUGCAGCACCCCCUCCUACCCGCGCUUCUCCCCACCAGCACCCCGCCCCGCCCCAUCAGCAUCCUGCUCCGUCCCCACCCCGCUUCUACCCGUGCCCUGCGCCACCAGCACCCUGCUCCUAAGCGCGUCCUGUACCCUACUCCUACCGGCACCCCACUCCUACCAGCACCCCGCUCCUACCGACGCCCUGCUCUGCCGUCACUCUCCACCCACCCGCGUCCCGGUCCUAACCACGCCCCGCCCCGCCAACACCCAACUGCUACCCGUCCUGCAGCACCCCAUCCUACCCACGCGCGCCUCGCCAGAAGCCCAAUCUUACACGCCCUCUGCUCCUACCCACGCCCUGCCGUGCCAGCACCUCAGUAUUAUCCACACCCUGCUCCUACUGUGCCCCACCCCACUCCUAGGAGCACCGUGCUCUGACGCCCCCCACACCUACCCCCACCCCUGCCCCACCAGCACCCCGUUCCUACUGGAGCCCAUCCACACUGCACCCUGGUCCUGCCUGCAUCGUGAUCCUGCCCCUGCCCAGCUCCUGCCCACUUGAGGUCUUCAGACUCUUAACAUUUAGACAACCACACAAUCCAUUAAAAUCCAUUAAAAUCCAGCAUUAAAAUUCAUGCUGGAAUUUAAUAUGAAAUUAAAGAGGUCUAGGAAAUAAGAAGUCACCAAAUUCUCAAAAAUACCUUUAUUAAAGUAACAUGUAAUUUUUAAAAGUAGUUUUAGACAAGACAACUUCAUUUAUGGCACAUAAAAUUCCAUAUCUUGUGCAUAACACUUUACAAUGAGAACUUUUGUUAACCAGGACAUGUUAUUUUCUAUGUUCAUUCUUUUGACACAUAGAUUUUUGUUUCCUUCCUAGACUUGUAAAAAUGCCUGUUUCGGAUUCCUUCAGAGUACAGAUGAAAAGGAAAUCUACCAUCACCAUACGGUAGAUGUGAAAAUUCAAAGAGGUGCCGUGGCUUUAAGUAGACAUUUCGGUGAGUGUGAAAAAGCGAGGUUCGGUGAAGAUCAGAAAGGAAAGGAAUCACCACUGCUAUG